Molecule: ribosomal RNA, 2612 nt
Filed under: marine metagenome
Description: bacterial LSU rRNA
Rfam family: Bacterial large subunit ribosomal RNA
Source: RNAcentral
AAUAUGCGGGGGAUGAUUUGGGUAAGCGAUGAUAGAAGGACGAAAAAGUUUCGAAAUAAUAAGGUAAAGCAACUUUGACCCUUAUUUUUCCUAUGGAGAAAUCCAAUCUAUACAAAAUACCUUGUGAACUGAAACAUCUUAGUAACAAGAGGAAAAUAAAUCAAUCGAGAAUAAGGCAGUAGUGGUGAACGAAGCCUUGUUAGUCUAGAGUUAAAAUUAUGUGGUUCGAGAAGAAAUUCACAAUAUAGGGUAAAAGAGUCCCGUAAGAACUAGCCUUUCGGGGUGAUAAUUAAACUUAAUCAAGUAGAACUCAUUUGAGUUUGAAUUCGGGGGAGCUAUCCUCCAAGACUAAUUACAUCAUUACACCGAUAGUGAAGAAGUAACGUGAGUGAAAAUUGAAAAUUCUGUAUACAGUACUGAAAGAGAACUGAAACCGAAUAUUCUUAAGCGCAUCUAUAAGAUGGUACCUUUUGUAUAAUGGAUUUGCAAGUUAUAAUAUUAUGUUUGGUUAAUACCGUAGUGAAAACAAGUUUUAAUAGAGCGUUUUUAAUAUAAUAUUAUAGGACCCGAAACCCAGUGAUCUAGUCAAGGGCAGAUUGAAGCUAACUUAAUUUUUAGUGGAGGAUCGAACCAGUGGUUGUUGCAAUAACCUUGGAUGACCUUUGAUUAGGGGUGAAAUGCCAAUCGAACUGGGAUAUAGCUGGUUAUCUUCGAAACGUAUUUAGGUACGGCGUCUAAUAUUAUUUUUAUGCGGUAAAGCACUGAUUAAGUUGUUGGCUUCUCUUUGAGUUGUACUUCACUUCUUCAAACUCAGAAUUCAUAAAAACGUAGUUAGAUAGACAGACUCAGGGCGAUAAGGUUCUGUGUCAAGAGGGAAACAACCCAGACCUAAAGUUAAAGUCAUCAAUAUAAAACGAGUGUUAAAGGCUUUCUAUAGACUAAUACAUUUAAAAAGUGGGCUUAGAAACAGCCACUUUCGACGAUAACGUAACAGUUCACUAAGCUAAAAUCAUAUAUAUAAAGUCUCUUACAUGAAAGUGUAGGAGGUGUAUGUGUUAAUAGGAACCGAAAAUUCAGGUGGCUAAUUUUUUAACUGAAACUUAGGCUUAAUAUUAAGUUAUUAAGAGUAGAAGAUUAUUUUGUAAAUUGACUUAUGCGUCUUGUAAAAGAUGAAAUAGAUAAUCAAAAGUAACAAUGCAAAUAUGAGUAACUAUAAAAUCGUAUAAAAAAACGAUUCACCGAAAACCCAAGGUUUUUCAGGGAUAUGAUGAACAUUCUGUUUCCUAAGCAGCCCCUAAGAUUGUAAUGUGAAAACAACUGUCGAUGGGCAAUCUCUUAUCUGACGUUUAUUCAGGAAUAAACCGAGAAAGAAGAUAGAGAAUAAAUACUGUACUAAAACUAACACAAGGGGGUAGGAAGAGCAUUCUAAGGUGAUAGGGGAAUUAUCCAUAAGGAACUCGGCAAAAUGUCCUCGUACGUUCGCAAGAAGAGGACCCCAAGAGAAUUGGGGAGCAUAAAAUCGAGAAGCGGAACUGUUUACCAAAAACACAGCUUUAAGCUAAGACGUAUGUCAUUGUAUUUGAAGUGACUCCUGCCCAAUGGUUGUAAUCGAAAAUGUUUAACCAAUGUAUAAGAUCAACUUAAUGGCGGCCCUAACUCUGAGGGUCCUAAGGUAGCGCAAUCAAUAUCCAGUUAAUUGCUGGAAAGUAUGAAAGGAGUAAUCAUGCUUCUACUGUCUCAUGGAUAAACCUAGUGAAAUUGGAGUCGUAGUGAAGAUACUACGUUAAGUGUUGCAGGACAAGAAGACCCUUGAAGCUUUACUGUUAUGUUGUCACGUUCAUUUUUUCUUUGUGUGUAGAAUAGCUGGUAGUUGUUAACGAGCCCACAUCGCCAGAUGUCAGGUUAAACGAAAAUUGAAAUACCAGUCUCAUUGUUUUAAAUGAUACUAAUAGGAAUAGAAACAGGCAUCAGAGACAGUUUUACUGGGGCGGUAGCCUUUUAAAAUGUAACAAAGGCUUUCAAUAGGUCGGUUCAGCUUCAUUAGAAAUGAUGCGAUGAGUGUAAAAGCAUAAACCGGCUUGACUGUGAGAUUGAUGAAUCGAACAGGGUCUAACGACGGAUUUAGUGACCCGCAUGUUAUUUAUAGCCUUACAUGCGAUCAUAAGUUAAGUUACUCAAGGGAUAACAGUGUAAUAGCGGGUAAGAGUCCUUAUCGACCUCGCUGUUUGCCACCUCGAUGUUGAAUUGCAAUAUCCUGCUGGUGCAGCCGCUAGCAAGGGUUGGACUGUUCGUCCAUUAAAAUUGUACAUGAUUUGAGUUCAGAACGUCGUGAGACAGUUCGGAUUCUAUCCGCAAUACUAUUCUAAAACUAAAAAGAACUUUUCAUUGUACGCAAGGACUUGAAAGGCGAUUCCAAUGGUGUAUCAGUUGUUUUAAAAGGCAUCGCUGAGUAGCUACGAAUCUUAUCUUAAGGGCUGGAGGCAGCUUAAGCCCGAAAUCUACUUUUUUUACGUUUUUAAUUUUUGAGUCAGACUAACUCUAAGUAUAGGCUAUAGGUAUAAUUUAUGCAAAUAAGUUAGCUUAAUAGUACUAAAAAAGUAUAAGUAAUCCAC